This 475-nucleotide long non-coding RNA is filed under the name Vombatus ursinus (common wombat). RNAcentral's name for it is "lncRNA (ENSVURG00010021296.1)". Lineage: Eukaryota; Metazoa; Chordata; Mammalia; Diprotodontia; Vombatidae. The record is from RNAcentral.
CACAAUAAAAUAACAAAGAAGGUCAGCCUGCAGUCUUAAUGAUCCAGGAACAUGUGAGAAAUUGUGAAAGAGAACAAAUGCCAAGGGAAUGAAGUUAUCCAGAGCAACAGUGGGAUGAGGAACAACAUCCAUUGGUGGCUGGCUCAACAACCUACACUUCUGCCAUAGAUACCAGUGUCGUGGAAAGAUGAUUUUUCUCUCAUACUUUUAGAAAGGAGUAAUGGAGGAGUCACUCAACACUGUGAUGAUGGGACAGCUGUGAACUUACUUCAGCCCCGUGAAUACCUGCCAAUCCCCAAAUGCUAACACAGAUUUCCUUGAGGCCACGGACAAAGUCAUGGUCACUUGGUGUUCAAUGCUUAUUUUCAUGGCUGAUGUAGGCUGUAUCUACUAUCUACAUUAAUACUUCUUAAACUGUGGGUCACAACCCCAUAUGGGGUCAUGUAACUGAAAGUGGGGGUUGGGAAAAAUUUGG